RNAcentral lists this microRNA precursor (86 nucleotides) under Canis lupus familiaris (dog). Its description in RNAcentral is "mir-8799 microRNA precursor family". It matches the Rfam family "mir-8799 microRNA precursor family". The record is from Rfam by way of RNAcentral. Lineage: Eukaryota; Metazoa; Chordata; Mammalia; Carnivora; Canidae. RNAcentral also lists the same sequence under 1 other name.
GGGAGCGCAGGGUCCUGGGCUGUGUCCCCCGCGCCCUGGGCUCCGGGGCCUGCGCUGCUGGGAUCACGCUCCGGGCCGGGGCUCCU